GCAAUGAUGUGGCCAAAGAGAGCUGACGUCACAAUUAUUGAUGCAGCAGAAAUCCGAUGCAAAUAGAAGCACAGAAAGACUUGGUGAGCACAAUUUGGUUUGGGGCAGAUCUGACCCUACACGUCAGGUUUUAAAGUUAGAGGUGUCGGAAUGAGUUUCCGACCAUCUGAUUGGGCAGAUCACAGAGCGGAGAGCCGUUAAAAUGGAUCAGAUGCCGGAGAAAUAUGGAAAAUUUGUGGGGCCAGAUUUGGGUCAAGACCUGACCUGGUCGAAUCUUCUUUUCCGGGCAGCUACAGGUGAUCAAAACAUAGCCGGAAGGGUCACCUAGACAUCGCUGGUGGAUUGGCAGUGGCAGCGGGUCUGUUUGGUGAGUAGACGGUGAUUGGUGUUGAAGGGACA
This 399-nucleotide unclassified non-coding RNA is filed under the name Hevea brasiliensis (rubber tree). Lineage: Eukaryota; Viridiplantae; Streptophyta; Magnoliopsida; Malpighiales; Euphorbiaceae. The record is from RNAcentral.